GAGACACGCUGGCGGCGUGCUUAACACAUGCAAGUCGAACGGUGACGAGGAGCUUGCUCCUCCGAUCAGUGGCGAACGGGUGAGUAACACGUGAGUAACCUGCCCCAGACCCUGGGAUAACAGUUGGAAACAGCUGCUAAUACCGGAUACGAGACGGAGAGGCAUCUCUACCGUCUGGAAAGAUUUAUCAGUCUGGGAUGGACUCGCGGCCUAUCAGCUUGUUGGUGAGGUAAAGGCUCACCAAGGCGACGACGGGUAGCCGGCCUGAGAGGGCGACCGGCCACACUGGGACUGAGACACGGCCCAGACUCCUACGGGAGGCAGCAGUGGGGAAUAUUGCACAAUGGGCGAAAGCCUGAUGCAGCGACGCCGCGUGAGGGAUGACGGCCUUCGGGUUGUAAACCUCUUUCAGCAGGGAAGAAGCGAAAGUGACGGUACCUGCAGAAGAAGCACCGGCUAACUACGUG
Molecule: ribosomal RNA, 467 nt
Filed under: uncultured bacterium
Lineage: Bacteria
Description: bacterial SSU rRNA
Rfam family: Bacterial small subunit ribosomal RNA
Source: RNAcentral